Molecule: non-coding RNA, 92 nt
Organism: Thozetella sp. PMI_491
Lineage: Eukaryota; Fungi; Ascomycota; Sordariomycetes; Chaetosphaeriales; Chaetosphaeriaceae
Source: the annotation of a GenBank genome assembly
GCCGUGGUGGCCAAGCGGUAAGGCGUCGCACUUGUAAGCUGCGCAGUCCAGCAUCAAUGCGAAGAUCCCUGGUUCGAUCCCGGGUCAUGGCA